GACGAACGCUGGCGGCGUGCUUAACACAUGCAAGUCGAACGCUGAAGCUCAGCUUUUGUUGGGUGGAUGAGUGGCGAACGGGUGAGUAACACGUGAGUAACCUGCCUCCUUCUUUGGGAUAACGCCCGGAAACGGGUGCUAAUACUGGAUAUUCACUGGUCUUCGCAUGGGGGUUGGUGGAAAGGGUUUUUCUGGUGGGGGAUGGGCUCGCGGCCUAUCAGCUUGUUGGUGGGGUGAUGGCCUACCAAGGCUUUGACGGGUAGCCGGCGUGAGGGGGUGACCGGGCACAGAGGGACGGAGAUACGGCCGAGACUCCGACGGGAGGCAGCAGUGGGGAAGAUGGCACAAUGGGCGCAAGCCUGAUGCAGCGACGCCGCGGGAGGGAUGGAGGCCUUCGGGUUGUGAACCUCUUUCGCUCAUGGUCAAGCCGCAACAAUGGUUGUGGUGAGGGUAGUGGGUAAAGAAGCGCCGGCUAACUACGUG
RNAcentral lists this ribosomal RNA (483 nucleotides) under uncultured bacterium. Its description in RNAcentral is "partial 16S ribosomal RNA". It matches the Rfam family "Bacterial small subunit ribosomal RNA", at positions 28 to 507 of the family's 1533-position model. The record is from RNAcentral.